GGGGCCGUACAUUAAGUCUGGCAAAUACGACGACUUAUCAAUCAUCGGUUGGGAGUUCGAAUCUCCCCGGCUCCA
RNAcentral lists this transfer RNA (75 nucleotides) under candidate division MSBL1 archaeon SCGC-AAA382N08. RNAcentral's name for it is "candidate divison MSBL1 archaeon SCGC-AAA382N08 tRNA". It matches the Rfam family "tRNA". Rfam says of the family: Transfer RNA (tRNA) molecules are approximately 80 nucleotides in length. Lineage: Archaea; Methanobacteriati; Methanobacteriota. The record is from Rfam by way of RNAcentral.